Lutra lutra (Eurasian river otter) is the source of this 615-nucleotide long non-coding RNA. RefSeq lists it as uncharacterized. The transcript has 3 exons. Lineage: Eukaryota; Metazoa; Chordata; Mammalia; Carnivora; Mustelidae. The record is from RefSeq and is a predicted model, not a curated record.
GAUGACCGUGUGGGAAUACAGGGACCAGUGAAUAUGUUACCUUACAUGGCAAAAGGGGUUUUGCAGAUGUGAUUAAGGAUUUUGAGGUGAGAUUAUCCUGGGUUACCUGCGUGGUCCAUCACAGGGGUCCUUAUAAGAGGCAGGAGGACCAGCAUCGGAAAAGGAGAUGUGGUUAACAGAAGCAGGAAUUAGAGGUGUGCUCUAAAGAUGGAAGGAGGGGCUGCCAGCCAAAAAAUGCAGGCAGACUCUAAAAAACGGCAAAGACAAGGAACACAGCCCAGUUGACACCUUGAUUUCUAACCAGGUCCCUGUGGGAGAACUCCAAUUGAGCUCAUAUGUGCUCAAGGACUCCCUGUGGCAUUUCCUGAGGCUUUGGGGAGUCUACAUCACAGUUCUCUCUCCAAUCCUGCAUCCUCACAUCUAACAGAAAAGUGGUCCCUGGGGCACCUGGCUGGCUCAGGUACUUAAGUGGUUGUCUUCGGCUCAGAUACUUUUGACUGCUUAUCUGGGCUAUAUUCUUCGAGUGAGCACAUAACCACCAAAUGCUUCUUUAAAAUUAAUUAAUCUAUAAAGUCUCCCAAGAGAAGGAAAAGAGAAGAAAAGAAACAGAAAAAA